This 328-nucleotide ribosomal RNA is filed under the name uncultured eukaryote. RNAcentral describes it as "partial 18S ribosomal RNA". It matches the Rfam family "Eukaryotic small subunit ribosomal RNA", at positions 1470 to 1796 of the family's 1831-position model. The record is from RNAcentral.
CCCUUAGAUGUUCUGGGCCGCACGCGCGCUACACUGAAGGGAUCAGCGUGUUUUCCCUUUCCGAGAGGAACGGGUAACCCGCUGAACCCCCUUCGUGGUAGGGAUCGGAGCUUGCAAUUGUUCUCCGUGAACCAGGAAUUCCCAGUAAGCGCAAGUCAUAAGCUUGCGUUGAUUACGUCCCUGCCCUUUGUACACACCGCCCGUCGCUACUACCGAUUGAAUGGUUUAGUGAGGACUCCUGAUUGGCGCCGCCGCCCCGGCAACGGAGCAGCGGACUGCCGAAAAGUUGUUCAAACUUGAUCAUUUAGAGGAAGUAAAAGUCGUAACA